Molecule: transfer RNA, 74 nt
Filed under: Caudoviricetes sp.
Lineage: Duplodnaviria; Heunggongvirae; Uroviricota; Caudoviricetes
Description: tRNA-Gly
Rfam family: tRNA
About the family: Transfer RNA (tRNA) molecules are approximately 80 nucleotides in length.
Source: RNAcentral
GCGGUUGUAGUUUAACGGUAGAACGUUAUGCGUCCGGCAUAAAGACCCAGGUUCGAAACCUGGCGGCCGCUCCA